CAGCAGCCGCGGUAACACGUAGGGCGCAAGCGUUGUCCGGAAUUAUUGGGCGUAAAGAGCUCGUAGGCGGUCUGUCGCGUCUGGUGUGAAAUCCCGAGGCUCAACCUCGGGCUUGCAUCGGGUACGGGCAGACUAGAGUGCGGUAGGGGAGACUGGAAUUCCUGGUGUAGCGGUGGAAUGCGCAGAUAUCAGGAGGAACACCGAUGGCGAAGGCAGGUCUCUGGGCCGCAACUGACGCUGAGGAGCGAAAGCAUGGGGAGCGAACAGGAUUAGAUACCCCAGUAGUCCCUGUCUCUUAUAC
Molecule: ribosomal RNA, 301 nt
Filed under: uncultured bacterium
Lineage: Bacteria
Description: partial 16S ribosomal RNA
Rfam family: Bacterial small subunit ribosomal RNA
Source: RNAcentral